GUGAGGAAUAUUGCGCAAUGGAGGCAACUCUGACGCAGCCAUGCCGCGUGCAGGAAGAAGGCGCUACGCGUUGUAAACUGCUUUUAACCGGGAAGAAACCCCAGGACGUGUCCUGGGUUGACGGUACCGGAGGAAUAAGCACCGGCUAACUUCGUGCCAGCAGCCGCGAUAAUACGAAGGGUGCAAGCGUUAUCCGGAUUCAUUGGGUUUAAAGGGUGCGUAGGCGGAGCGUUAAGUCAGUGGUGAAAUCCUGCAGCUUAACUGUAGACUUGCCAUUGAUACUGGCGCUCUUGAGUGCGCUUGAAGUGGGCGGAAUGUGCCGUGUAGCGGUGAAAUGCUUAGAUAUGGCACAGAACACCAAUUGCGAAGGCAGCUCACUAAGGCGAUACUGACGCUGAGGCACGAAAGCGUGGGGAUCGAACAGGAUUAGAUACCCUAGUAGUCC
RNAcentral lists this ribosomal RNA (445 nucleotides) under uncultured bacterium. RNAcentral's name for it is "partial 16S ribosomal RNA". It matches the Rfam family "Bacterial small subunit ribosomal RNA", at positions 354 to 796 of the family's 1533-position model. The record is from RNAcentral.